RNAcentral lists this ribosomal RNA (484 nucleotides) under uncultured bacterium. Its description in RNAcentral is "partial 16S ribosomal RNA". It matches the Rfam family "Bacterial small subunit ribosomal RNA", at positions 28 to 507 of the family's 1533-position model. The record is from RNAcentral.
AUUGAACGCUGGCGGCAUGCUUUACACAUGCAAGUCGAACGGCAGCGCGGGCUUCGGCCUGGCGGCGAGUGGCGAACGGGUGAGUAAUGCAUCGGAACGUGCCCAGUAGUGGGGGAUAGCCCGGCGAAAGCCGGAUUAAUACCGCAUACGACCUGGGGGUGAAAGCGGGGGACCGAAAGGCCUCGCGCUAUUGGAGCGGCCGAUGUCGGAUUAGCUAGUUGGUGGGGUAAAGGCUUACCAAGGCGACGAUCCGUAGCUGGUCUGAGAGGACGACCAGCCACACUGGGACUGAGACACGGCCCAGACUCCUACGGGAGGCAGCAGUGGGGAAUUUUGGACGAUGGGGGCAACCCUGAUCCAGCCAUGCCGCGUGCGGGAAGAAGGCCUUCGGGUUGUAAACCGCUUUUGUUCGGGAAGAAAUCCUCUGGGCUAAUACCCCGGGGGGAUGACGGUACCGGAAGAAUAAGCACCGGCUAACUACGUG